AUUGAACGCUGGCGGCAGGCUUAACACAUGCAAGUCGAGCGGUAACAGGGGGUGCUUGCACCCCGCUGACGAGCGGCGGACGGGUGAGUAAUGCUUAGGAAUCUGCCCAGUAGUGGGGGAUAGCCCGGGGAAACCCGGAUUAAUACCGCAUACGUCCUACGGGAGAAAGCAGGGGAUCUUCGGACCUUGCGCUAUUGGAUGAGCCUAAGUCGGAUUAGCUAGUUGGUGGGGUAAAAGCCUACCAAGGCCACGAUCCGUAGCUGGUUUGAGAGGAUGAUCAGCCACAUCGGGACUGAGACACGGCCCGAACUCCUACGGGAGGCAGCAGUGGGGAAUAUUGGACAAUGGGGGCAACCCUGAUCCAGCCAUGCCGCGUGUGUGAAGAAGGCUUUCGGGUUGUAAAGCACUUUCAGUAAGGAGGAAAACCUUACGGUUAAUAACCGUGAGGCUUGACGUUACUUACAGAAGAAGCACCGGCUAACUCCGUGCCAGCAGCCGCGGUAAUACGGAGGGUGCAAGCGUUAAUCGGAAUUACUGGGCGUAAAGCGCGCGUAGGUGGUUCGAUAAGCGGGAUGUGAAAGCCCCGGGCUUAACCUGGGAACGGCAUUCCGAACUGUCGGGCUAGAGUAUGGUAGAGGGUAGUGGAAUUUCCUGUGUAGCGGUGAAAUGCGUAGAUAU
This 678-nucleotide ribosomal RNA is filed under the name uncultured bacterium. RNAcentral's name for it is "bacterial SSU rRNA". It matches the Rfam family "Bacterial small subunit ribosomal RNA", at positions 28 to 697 of the family's 1533-position model. The record is from RNAcentral.